This 627-nucleotide ribosomal RNA is filed under the name Xcellia lamelliphila. RNAcentral's name for it is "SSU rRNA". It matches the Rfam family "Eukaryotic small subunit ribosomal RNA", at positions 1006 to 1618 of the family's 1831-position model. The record is from RNAcentral. Lineage: Eukaryota; Perkinsozoa; Perkinsida; Xcellidae.
UUUCAGAUACCGUCGUAGUCCUAGCUGCAAACAAUGCCGACUGAGGAUCGGACGAGUAACUAGCUUCUCGUUCGGCACUCAAUGAGAAAUCAAAGUCUUUGGGUUCCGGGGGGAGUAUGGUCGCAAGGCUGGAACUUAAAGGAAUUGACGGAAGGGCACCACCAGGAGUGGAGCCUGCGGCUCAAUUCGACUCAACACGGGAAACCUCACCAGGGCAAGACAUAGCUAGGAUUGACAGAUUGAGAGUUCUUUCUUGAUUCUAUGAGUGGUGGUGCAUGGCCGUUCUUAGUUGGUGGAGCGAUUUGUCUGGUUAAUUCCGUUAACGAACGAGACCCCGAUCUGCUAAAUAGCUAGUGUGAAGUGAGGGAAGAUAACUGGCGUGCCUUGUGUGUGCUGGCCUCCCCUAAUAUAUUUGGCACUCAGCUUCUUAGAAAGACUACGUGUGUGAACGCGAGGAAGCUCGGGGUAAUAACAGGUCUGUGAUGCCCCUAGAUGCCCUGGGCUGCACGCGCGCUACAAUGGCGUGGAUAUCGAGUUGCUCCGUCGGAAGAUGAGGCAAAACAUGAAUCCACGCCGUGACUGGGAUAGACGUCUGAAAUUAUUCGUCUUGAACGAGGAAUUCCUAAA